Molecule: ribosomal RNA, 233 nt
Filed under: uncultured bacterium
Lineage: Bacteria
Description: partial 16S ribosomal RNA
Rfam family: Bacterial small subunit ribosomal RNA
Source: RNAcentral
CGGACGGGUGAGUAACGCGUGGGUAACCUGCCUCAUACAGGGGGAUAACGGUUAGAAAUGACUGCUAAUACCGCAUAAGCGCACAGUACCGCAUGGUACGGUGUGAAAAACUCCGGUGGUAUGAGAUGACCCGCGUCUGAUUAGCUGUUGGUGAGGUAACGGCCCACCAAGGCGACGAUCAGUAGCCGACCUGAGAGGGUGACCGGCCACAUUGGGACUGAGACACGGCCCAG